This 497-nucleotide ribosomal RNA is filed under the name uncultured bacterium. Its description in RNAcentral is "partial 16S ribosomal RNA". It matches the Rfam family "Bacterial small subunit ribosomal RNA", at positions 28 to 507 of the family's 1533-position model. The record is from RNAcentral.
GAUGAACGCUGGCGGCGUGCCUAAUACAUGCAAGUCGAGCGAACAGAUGAGGAGCUUGCUCCUCUGACGUUAGCGGCGGACGGGUGAGUAACACGUGGAUAACCUACCUAUAAGACUGGGAUAACUUCGGGAAACCGGAGCUAAUACCGGAUAAUAUAUUGAACCGCAUGGUUCAAUAGUGAAAGACGGUUUUGCUGUCACUUAUAGAUGGAUCCGCGCCGCAUUAGCUAGUUGGUAAGGUAACGGCUUACCAAGGCAACGAUGCGUAGCCGACCUGAGAGGGUGGACGGCCACACGGGAACUGAGACACGGCCCAGACUCCUACGGUAGGCAGCAGUAGGGAAUCUUCCGCAAUGGGCGAAAGCCUGACGGAGCAACGCCGCGUGAGUGAUGAAGGUCUUCGGAUCGUAAAACUCUGUUAUUAGGGAAGAACAAAUGUGUAAGUAACUAUGCACGUCUUGACGGUACCUAAUCAGAAAGCCACGGCUAACUACGUG